CACGCCCUCCCCCAGGCAACCACUGAUCUAUUACUGUACAUUAGGUUCGCAUUUUCCAGAACUAAUGAGAUAGUAGAACCCCAGGACUCUUCUCUCAGUAUGAUUAUUUUGAGGUUAUUUUGUUGUUACCUGUAACUUGUUCAUUUCUUCUUACUGCUGGGCAGUGAUCAUUAUGGAGGGACUUACCAGAAUUUUCAUCCACUUAGGGCAUUGAGGUGGUGAUAUGCUCUCUCAGCAUCCUGCUCUGGCUACCUGCUCCCAUGCCUCCCCCACCACCAUGAGCUUUUCUGGAAUUGGUUUCUCUAUAGCUUUUCAGGAUGUCCUGGAACGCUCUAAGUAGACCAGAGUGGCCUGGAACUCACAGAAAUCUGCCUUCCUCUGCCUCCUGAGUGCUGGGAUUAAAGGCGUGCACCACCACCUCCCGGCCCCAUUGCCCAGUGUAAUAUUUGAUAUGUAAGAAGUCAUUUAUAAAGUCUUCAGGAG
Molecule: long non-coding RNA, 483 nt
Filed under: Cricetulus griseus (Chinese hamster)
Lineage: Eukaryota; Metazoa; Chordata; Mammalia; Rodentia; Cricetidae
Description: lncRNA (ENSCGRG00015033440.1)
Source: RNAcentral